CCGUGGCGUGGCGCACGGGUCAGUUGCGGUCGCGUUGAGGAAGGUUGAAUCGGGCGCAAGCCGCACGCGCCGGUGGCCUCAGCACCGCGGUUUCGAACGUUCGGUGACCGCGUGCAGCUCGUGUCGACACCUCGUCCCCCGUGCCGCCGCCUGCACCCUCCCCUGCCUCCGCUCCUGCGUGCACCCUAAUUCUCUUUAAAAAGGCCAAUUUGAUUUUAUCGUGUCACUAACACCCCUAGAGGGAAAGCCAUUUUCUAUAGAUCAUUUAAUAGGUUAGAAUACAUGCACUAACCUGCCUCAAUUAGAAAAUGUAGCCGAAAUCAAUUUAUCGUGUCAUCGCGUGACAAUAUAAUUAAGUAUUUUAAUCUUAACUUACACCUUUAAUUUCGUACGUUCUACUUUAAAUUUUAAAGGUACUAUAAAUUGUUGCAGAAAAAAUAAGAAUAAAUACUGAAAUUAGAUAUUAAAUAUAUACAUAUGUCAAAGGAAUAAAUAGUAAAAAUAAUCAGUAGAUAAAUCCUAAUCUGUAAGUACGUUAUCUGACCAACACAAAGAUCGGACGAGUUGAAGUAAGUAGUUAUUUAUUGUGGUAGAGCAAGCACAUUUUACUCAAUUAUUUUCGUCUUGCAUCUACUUCAAUUUUCUUACUGUUCUAGAAUUUUAGAUAUAAAUAAGUAAAGUCGGUAUUUAUAAACUUAUAAAUUUUAUUAUUUUUACAUUCUUGCAUUUGGCUAUUAUAAAAUAGUUUAACUGUGUAGUAGAGUUUUUAGUACUUAAUUAGUUUGAAUGUAUUUUGUUAGAGAAAAACUAUACUUACUUAAUAACAAAUUACAGAAACAAUUAGGAAGAUACCCUGUAAUAACUUAUAAAUCUUCUAUGUAUAAGCUGUUGGUUUUCUGAAUAAAUAAAUUAAACAAUA
Long non-coding RNA from Melitaea cinxia (Glanville fritillary), 919 nucleotides. RefSeq lists it as uncharacterized. The transcript is spliced from 2 exons. NCBI's taxonomy places the organism in Eukaryota, Metazoa, Arthropoda, Insecta, Lepidoptera, Nymphalidae. The record is from RefSeq and is a predicted model, not a curated record.